This 858-nucleotide ribosomal RNA is filed under the name Escherichia coli. RNAcentral describes it as "partial 23S ribosomal RNA". It matches the Rfam family "Bacterial large subunit ribosomal RNA", at positions 379 to 1239 of the family's 2925-position model. The record is from RNAcentral. Lineage: Bacteria; Pseudomonadati; Pseudomonadota; Gammaproteobacteria; Enterobacterales; Enterobacteriaceae.
ACAAAAAUGCACAUGCUGUGAGCUCGAUGAGUAGGGCGGGACACGUGGUAUCCUGUCUGAAUAUGGGGGGACCAUCCUCCAAGGCUAAAUACUCCUGACUGACCGAUAGUGAACCAGUACCGUGAGGGAAAGGCGAAAAGAACCCCGGCGAGGGGAGUGAAAAAGAACCUGAAACCGUGUACGUACAAGCAGUGGGAGCACAGAGCAAUCUGUGUGACUGCGUACCUUUUGUAUAAUGGGUCAGCGACUUAUAUUCUGUAGCAAGGUUAACCGAAUAGGGGAGCCGAAGGGAAACCGAGUCUUAACCGGGCGUUAAGUUGCAGGGUAUAGACCCGAAACCCGGUGAUCUAGCCAUGGGCAGGUUGAAGGUUGGGUAACACUAACUGGAGGACCGAACCGACUAAUGUUGAAAAAUUAGCGGAUGACUUGUGGCUGGGGGUGAAAGGCCAAUCAAACCGGGAGAUAGCUGGUUCUCCCCGAAAGCUAUUUAGGUAGCGCCUCGUGAAUUCAUCUCCGGGGGUAGAGCACUGUUUCGGCAAGGGGGUCAUCCCGACUUACCAACCCGAUGCAAACUGCGAAUACCGGAGAAUGUUAUCACGGGAGACACACGGCGGGUGCUAACGUCCGUCGUGAAGAGGGAAACAACCCAGACCGCCAGCUAAGGUCCCAAAGUCAUGGUUAAGUGGGAAACGAUGUGGGAAGGCCCAGACAGCCAGGAUGUUGGCUUAGAAGCAGCCAUCAUUUAAAGAAAGCGUAAUAGCUCACUGGUCGAGUCGGCCUGCGCGGAAGAUGUAACGGGGCUAAACCAUGCACCGAAGCUGCGGCAGCGACACUGUGUGUUGUUGGGUAGGGGAGCGU